CAGUAGCCACGGGAAUACGAAGGGGGCUAGCGUUGCUCGGAUUUACUGGGCGUAAAGGGCGCGUAGGCGGACAGUUAAGUUGGGGGUGAAAGCCCGGGGCUCAACCUCGGAAUUGCCUUCAAUACUGGCUGUCUUGAGUGUGAGAGAGGUGUGUGGAACUCCGAGUGUAGAGGUGAAAUUCGUAGAUAUUCGGAAGAACACCAGUGGCGAAGGCGACACACUGGCUCACUACUGACGCUGAGGCGCGAAAGCGUGGGGAGCAAACAGGAUUAGAUACCCCGGUAGUCCCUGUCUCUUAUAC
RNAcentral lists this ribosomal RNA (301 nucleotides) under uncultured bacterium. RNAcentral describes it as "partial 16S ribosomal RNA". It matches the Rfam family "Bacterial small subunit ribosomal RNA", at positions 509 to 807 of the family's 1533-position model. The record is from RNAcentral.